CUGUAGCCAACCAAAUCUGCCAGAUCUCAGUCCUCAUGGGGCCUGGUAUAGAAUGGCUAUGAAUAGCAGCCUCAGUGGUAGCGAAUACAGCUGUUCCCUACAUGGGUUUCCCUAAGAAAUCUUGGAUACAGUU
This is a small nucleolar RNA of Arvicola amphibius (Eurasian water vole), 133 nucleotides long. RefSeq annotates it as small nucleolar RNA SNORA70. NCBI's taxonomy places the organism in Eukaryota, Metazoa, Chordata, Mammalia, Rodentia, Cricetidae. The transcript has a single exon. The record is from RefSeq and is a predicted model, not a curated record.